This 386-nucleotide long non-coding RNA is filed under the name Pongo abelii (Sumatran orangutan). Its description in RNAcentral is "lincRNA". The record is from RNAcentral. Lineage: Eukaryota; Metazoa; Chordata; Mammalia; Primates; Hominidae.
AAAGAGACUGCAGUUCAGCUGGCUGCAGGCCAGAUUGUGGGUAGUGAUCUCGUUGUGGGGACUGGGGUGGUUUGCAUUUUGCAGGAAGCUCCUGGGUGCACUAGCAGGAAUCCCUCAAAGUGGCUUGGACUCUAACAUGGGCCCUCUCGUUCUCCCAGGCAAUACUUGAUUUUCCUUUGCUUUUGUGGAGGGUCCGAGGUGCCCCUCAACAGCACUACUGGACAUGUUUUUCAGGCUUGAAAUUGCCCUUAGCCUCUGAGACACUUUCUCAACCUCACCUGCCCCGGUGGGAUGCCAACUCCAGGUUUCAGACCUCUGCUCCACCUUGGACUAGCCUUUGUCAUGGUUCCUGCCUUUCCCAGAUGACCGUGCUGAGAAGCAUGAGC